Non-coding RNA from Paramuricea clavata, 747 nucleotides. The record is from the annotation of a GenBank genome assembly. Lineage: Eukaryota; Metazoa; Cnidaria; Anthozoa; Malacalcyonacea; Plexauridae.
GGGGGGCAUUUUUUGAAAAGGGACUUUUCAGUGAGAUAAUAUAUUAAGAGGGGGAUAGCAAUGGCUGAAGGCCACGUGUAUGGCCAAUAUACCACGCAUGAAUGGGGGGGGGUCUGGGUGUGUACUCCCCCAGAAAAUUUUUGAAAUUUGAAUCCCGGAAAUGUCAUUUCCUGCAUUCUGAGCAUCCAAAUUUGCUCCAAAAUUUAUCCUAACUAUACUUGUAUUUGAAAUAAAUAAAGGAAAAAACGCACAAAAAGUAAAAAAAAAAUUAACCAUAAUUUAUCAUUACUUAUUAGAGGAGGAUAGCAAUGGUCACGUGUGUGGGGGUGUACUGCCCAGAAAAUUUUUGAAAUUUGAAGCACGGAAAUGCCAUUUCCUGCAUUCUGAGCAUCCAAAUUUGCCCUAAAAUUUAUACUAACUAUACUUGUAUUUGAAAUAAAAGAAGGAAAAAAUGCACAAAAAGUAAAAAAAGAAUAUUAACCGUAAUUUAUCAUUACUUUUUGGAGGUAUAAUCCUCAGAAAAUUUUUGAAAUUUGAAACCAGGAAAUGCCAUUUCCUGCAUUCUGAGCAUCCAAAAAAUAAAAAUAUUAUUAACAAUAAUUUAUCAUUACUUAGUGGUGGAAAAACGUAACAAUUUAAAUCGAUUUUGUUAAACAAGGACAAAGGAUAAAGCCUAAAACUUACUUUUCGUUAGCCUGCGAGCAAGCUCUCUUGGUGAAAGAGAGCCUGCAAGGAUCCCUAUGAUAU